AAAGAUCUAAAUAUAUUAUAAAUUUUUUGUGUCAGAAAAAUUUUUAAAAUAUAUUUAGUUGUAAAAUUCUAAUCGCUUUUAUUUAUAUCUAGUAACUUUAGAAGCAAAUUCAGUUUAUGAUAAUUAGAAACAUUUUAUUUUUAAUAAGUUUUAAAAUUAUUUUUAAAUUUAUGGGGAUGAGCUCAUAAAUAAAUAUAAAAGAAUAUAAUUAUUAAUAGUUUUUUUGUAGGCUUAGAAUUAGCUAUUGGAAAAUGUUAUAAAAAAUAAACUUAAAUUUUAGAUUUAAAUUUCUUUUUUAAAUAUAAAGUUAAUUAAAAAAUUUAUUAAUUUUUGAAAAUAUGAUAAUAUUAGUAGAUAAAUUUAUUUUGAACUUGAUUAUAAAUUAUUCUUUUUCAUUUUUUAUAUAAACUUUAACAAAAGAACUAGGCAAAUAUAAUUUCCGAAUGUUUAACAAAAACAUUUCCUCUUAGACAAAGAGGUAAGGCCUGCUCACUGAAUUUUAAAGAGCCGCAGUAUUCUAACUGUGCUAAGGUAGCAUAAUCAUUAGUCUUUUAAUUGGAGACUGGUAUGAAUGGCUUAACGAGAAAUUAACUUUUUUUGUUAUAAGAAUUGAAUUUAAUUUUUUAGUGAAAAAGCUAAAAUUGUUCAGAAAGACGAGAAGACCCUAUAGAGUUUUAUGUUUUAAAAAAAUAAAUUUUUAUUUGAUUUCUGAAUUAUUUAUUUUCAAAAACAUUUUGUUGGGGCGACAUAAAGAUAAACAAAACUCUUUAUAUUAAAAAUUUUUAUAAAAAUAUUCUUGAUCCUUUAUAAGAGAUUAUAAGAAAAAAUUACCUUAGGGAUAACAGCGUAAUCUUUUUUAAGAGUUCUAAUCGACAAAAAGGUUUGCGACCU
RNAcentral lists this ribosomal RNA (891 nucleotides) under Savignium sp. n. 4 LMT-2014. RNAcentral describes it as "partial 16S large subunit ribosomal RNA". The stretch from base 435 to 589 matches the Rfam family "Archaeal large subunit ribosomal RNA", at positions 1883 to 2090 of the family's 2987-position model. Lineage: Eukaryota; Metazoa; Arthropoda; Thecostraca; Balanomorpha; Pyrgomatidae. The record is from RNAcentral.